GAAGUGCGAUAAGCAAUGCGAAUUGCAGAACCGUGAGUCAUCAGAUUUUUGAACGCAACUGGCGCUAGCUGGCUCUCCAGCUAGCAUGCUUGUUUCAGUGUCUCUUUAUCUCAUCACCCAAAUCAUAAUGCGAUAGAUACCCUUCUAUUGCUAAGCUCGAAAGCACUCUGCACUCUGCGAGCGACUUCGAUUCGAGGUCGCACUCAAUGCAGCAGUCACAUUGUUACAAUGUGAACUCAUUGAGAGUAGAGGCAGUGCAGGCAACUGCGAGUGCUUAGACACUUAAACUUUCCUUGUAUCUGAAAUCAAGCAGGAUAACCCGCUGAACUUAA
This 332-nucleotide unclassified non-coding RNA is filed under the name uncultured fungus. Its description in RNAcentral is "sequence contains ITS1". The stretch from base 1 to 103 matches the Rfam family "5.8S ribosomal RNA", at positions 50 to 154 of the family's 154-position model. The record is from RNAcentral. Lineage: Eukaryota; Fungi.